GAGCAAGAGCCGAAGAGCAGUAAGAAGUAACUUGUCGCUGGAGAAAGGCAAGUGUGUCCUUGUGCUUUUGUCCCAAUAACUUUGUUUAAUCACUAUUGCAUAUGCCUGCAUUAAAUUUGAUGGGUCCUAUUAAGGUUUGCCUAGUUUUUAUGAUUAUUCCUUGCCAACCUGGGUUUACAUUUCUGUUGGGUAGCUAUGCUUAGCUGCUAUACUUGGGUUAUGGUGGUUCUAAUGAACAAAGAUGAUGAACCUAUUUUAUUUAUGCUACACCUUCCUUUAAUACAAGAUCACUGUGAUUAAUUGGAACAUGGAGAACCACCCAGGAAAACAGUGCUACCACAAGACUAAAUGGCUCUGGUCUUGGCUGAAUAAUUAGAAACUCUAGUUUGGGGUAACCUUACCGAAAGGGCAAGAGGGGAGGCGUUAAUGGGAUAUAGCACUCGCUCUCUUGGGAAGUGGGCUUGGCUAAGACACUAUACCCUCUAGGGGACUGCUAUGUUUCGCUUCGACCUGAAACCUUAGCGGGUUACCACAUUGCUAGCGAAUCUUUGUAAAGGUCUCGUAGCGUCCCUAUGCAAUCACACCUCGGAAGUGUGGUAUUGUGCCUGAUCAGCACAAGCGUGGUUGGGUCUAAAGUUCUUUUGAACUUUUACGCGACUUGUGGGUAAAGAUGUGCAACCUCUGCAGAGUGUAAAACUGAUCGAUCAGCCGUGCUCACGGUUAAGAGCGGCCUGGACCCUCACAUGAUUAAUAUACUUGAAGAUGGAUUUAAAUUGUGGUUUAUGCUAUGGUUAUGGUUGUGCCAUAUGCUUAUGGCUUAUAUUUAUGUUUAUAUUAAUUGUGGGUUGGUAUAUACUUAUACCUUAGUAAUCAGGUGCUAAUAAAAUUUGACCAACUAAAAAUGCUUAAUGCAGUCAACCAAUCAGCAUUUCCUUGUUUAACCCUUGCAUUCAUAUUCUCCUCACACUUGCUGAGUACGACAAGUGCUCACCCUUGCUAUACACAACGUUGCUCAGAAGAAGAAGCUGCUAUGAAGUUGUUGUGAAGAUGGUGCUGAGUUCUAGGCGUACGCAACCCCCAGUCGAUUGCCUGUGAAGUUUGGAGCCUCCGUUUCCAUAAUUAAGCUGUAUAUGUCUGAUGGUUUGUAAGUCUUUAUUUGUAUCUUUUUACGUGAUACUGUUGCUGUUAUUCACUUAUGAUGUCACUAUAUGUAUGAAACUUGAUCCUGGCAUACAUAUAGGUAGCACUUGGUUUUGUCCUUAAAACCGGGUGUGACAAUCUCGGUUGGUAUUAC
RNAcentral lists this long non-coding RNA (1294 nucleotides) under Setaria viridis. RNAcentral's name for it is "long non-coding RNA (SVIR_LNC010269)". Lineage: Eukaryota; Viridiplantae; Streptophyta; Magnoliopsida; Poales; Poaceae. The record is from RNAcentral.